RNAcentral lists this unclassified non-coding RNA (1518 nucleotides) under Daphnia magna. Its description in RNAcentral is "uncharacterized LOC116919878, transcript variant X1". The record is from RNAcentral. Lineage: Eukaryota; Metazoa; Arthropoda; Branchiopoda; Diplostraca; Daphniidae.
CAUUGUUGUGGGCGUCUGCCCGUUCCCUAAUCGUAAGUUAUAAAAGGCUUGCCAUGAUGUGCUGUGACGUAACUAGUAUUAAUUGGCUCAUCUUUUCGAAAAUAAUGGAUCCGCCUAUGCCGAUCAUGAGGCCAAAAAGGACUAUUAAGAAAAAAUUGAACUUCAUGUUUUCGAAUUCGGCAUUAUACGGUUAUCAUAAAAAUUGUUGUAAAGUCGAUGUUGUUUAAUGUUAUUUAAUGUUGCAUAGGUAAAAGGAGAGGUUCAGUUGCUGCUGCGACUAAAAAGGUCAUCAAAGCAGCUGGUAAGAACAACUCAACAACAUCGGUGCCAGGUUUCAUUCCACAAAUUCCAAAACCAGUUCAUGCAUUGUCUCAAUUAAUCCAAGUCAGACCGGGGAAUGAAAAAGAAAAUGGAUUGGGGCCAUCCACCAACAACACAAGGAGAACCUCAUCAACAUCAUUACCAGUUUCUGAUCAAAGAAGGACUAUCCUUUCAGAAGCCGGACUAAAUCGUAUAGGGGCAAGAACCAAACAUACGACUGAACGUUUUAAUGGCGCUGAUUUAAUGCCCAACGGUGGUGUCGACAACUCACACAACCCACUUCAUUCUGAAUUAGGUGAUGCUUCCUUAACCUUUUAAUCGGCUGCAUUUCUUAGUUCUACUCCGUUAAGAGACAGACUUAGCACACCACCUCGCACAGCAGCACCAAUUACCGGAAAUCUCGGUCAAUUACUGCAGGAAAUUAUUAACUUCAUGGCUGAGUCUAACGCUAAACAAGAGCGUUUGAUGAGCAUUGUUACGACGCUUGCCACACAGAAAACAACACAGGCAGUACCACAGGUUGAGGCCGAUGAUAUGAUAGAUUCCUUGGAGCUUCCAUUCAACGAUUUUGAGGAAUUUCUAUCUUUUGACGAGAAACUUAAAAACAGUUCUGGGUUUCGUAAGAAAUUUGUUAAUUACUUAGCCUGCAUGGGGGGAGGCUCGUUGAAAGAGAGCUGUAAGUUCAUUUUAUUCCACACCAUAGACAAAUACGUUUCCCUACGUUACUCGCGUCGAGGAAUGGGAAGACUAAAAAAGCUGCCUUUUGAAAAGACGCAAUUUUAUAAAUGUUUGAAACGUGCAUUGGGGAAAAGACAUCCAGAUAAAAACGAGUUCCAGUUCAAGCCCAUGCAAGAAGCGAUCACCAAUUUCCUUAAAGACGCAAAAGACCGUAAAGGAGGUCGACAAAUGCGUAAUCGAAACAAGAAAAACGUGGCUGAAAAUUCCUCGUCGUCUUCGUCAUCGUUUUCAAGCGAAGAUGAUGACUAAAUCGUUUAUAUGUUCAGUCGUUUAUAUGUUCAGUGUUAACGAGGAGAGUGAAAUAUUUCCUAUCAUAGAAAUCUUUUUCUCUCCUCGUCGUUAAUAAGGAUUGUUUUGUGUUUUUUUUUAUUAGUCAUGGCUGAAGAAGUCGAAAACUUUUUUUCUCAUUUAUCUUCAUUGAAUUUUGUGCAGUUUACUGUUCUACCGAUUAAUAAAGAA